UGAGGAACAUGACCUUCGGCGGGGGAUAGCCGGCCCAACGGCCGGGUAAUACCGCGUACGACCUUUCGGGGACAUCCCCGGAUGGUGAAAGCAGCAAUGCGCCGAUGGAGUGCCUCGCGGCCUAUCAGCUAGUUGGUGAGGUAACGGCUCACCAAGGCAACGACGGGUANCUGGUCUGAGAGGAUGGCCAGCCACAUUGGGACUGAGACACGGCCCAGACCUCCGUACGGGAGG
This 234-nucleotide ribosomal RNA is filed under the name uncultured bacterium. Its description in RNAcentral is "partial 16S ribosomal RNA". It matches the Rfam family "Bacterial small subunit ribosomal RNA", at positions 118 to 347 of the family's 1533-position model. The record is from RNAcentral.